CCCCUUCACCUGGAAAUCAGAUCAACCUACUGAAAAAUCAUUCAACACAUAGACACCCUAAAAGUUAAAGUUAAUUGAAGAAUCAAAAUAGCGAAAAUGGGUUCUGAAUCUUCUGAUGCUGCCUAAUCUGUUGCAGAGAGAAUAAGCUGCCGUUGAAGGAGAGAAUGCUGGGAGGGUUUCAUAGGAUUCGAAUACGCUCAGAAGAUGUUGUUGACGGCAGUAGUGGUGGAGUCGUCGUGGAGAUAGUGUAGAUGAUUGUGGCAGUGGAGAUGGUUAUGCUGAAAAUGGUGAGGCUUUAGAGUGACUUUCUGUCAUCACUACCAUAGAAGCAGCGGGAGUGGUGGUGGUGCAGAUAACUGGGGGUAUCACUGGAUACCAUUUCGUCCCUGGAUAUAGACACAAUCCAAAUUAGAAACGAGAGGCGGAUGGAGCGGUUUCAAAUUGGAAGAACCAACGGCCCUGGGAAAGUUUGUACGACUACUACUCUUAAACUGAAGACAAAAUGCUCGUGAAAAAUCAUUGUCGGCAACAAGGAUAGUGCAUGUACAAUAUCAAGCUAUAAAUGGAGAAGAAAGUUGUAGGGACGCAAAACGAGAAAAUGAGGCAGAUGUUGAUGAUGAAAAUGCACAGUGGUGAAUGGUCAACAGAGAAUCGUGACAGUGCUUCUGAGGCUGGUGAACAUGUUCCAGGGAGAGUCUGCUGAUGGAAGGGAGUGUUCUCGGAAAAGGACCUUGAUUUUUGGCUAACGCUGAAGCUUGAUUCAUUUGGCAAAAAUUUAAGGGUCCAGGGUUUGGAGAUCGGGACUACGGGCUCGAUCAAGCUCAUGAUCCAAAAGAAUAGUAGAACUCUACUUGUCUUUUGUUAAAUACGUGCAGUAAGAACACUCUAAAUUUGCCAACUGGGGAUUAAUAACAAAUUUUCUUAAAGAUAUAUCCAAUGUUUUUUUUUUUUUGAAUAAAUACCCUUUGGUAAGCUUCUAUUUAUAGCUCUUAUACAAUUCUCAGUGACCUGUUCGAAUCAAGAAAGAGUCUAUAUAUAGCAUCCUCAAUCCCUAAGGU
Long non-coding RNA from Papaver somniferum (opium poppy), 1058 nucleotides. RefSeq lists it as uncharacterized. The record is from RefSeq and is a predicted model, not a curated record. The transcript has 4 exons. Lineage: Eukaryota; Viridiplantae; Streptophyta; Magnoliopsida; Ranunculales; Papaveraceae.